CGCAGCUCUAACUUCGUGCGAUAAGUACUAAUCUUAAAUGGAUAUUCGUGUUUCGUGUUGUAAAUUCGUAAUACCGCGUUAUAUUUGCUGUAUUGUGUGAUUGUAAAUAAUAUUUUAGAGUUGUGCGAACCAUUUUUGUCUUCAGCAGAACACGACGGGCGGCUAUUCUACCUGUAUCUACUCGCAUUUGAUUUACGGCGUUUGAUACACUGCUUUUGUCCACCAAACAAAAUAUUACUUAAAACGAAGCCAUCUGGUGGCGAAACGGAGUUCACCGGAUUUGCUAGUGUUAAAUAAAAACAUAGUUGGACUCAUACCCUAAAUAAUUAUAAUACGGAAAAAAUAGAUAAAGUUUCAACGUCUAGUACACCGAUGGAGACUGAAGAAAUCACCACGCUCAACAUGAUGGAUCCCUACAGCGCACAUUCCUUCAA
Dalotia coriaria is the source of this 434-nucleotide long non-coding RNA. RefSeq lists it as uncharacterized. The record is from RefSeq and is a predicted model, not a curated record. NCBI's taxonomy places the organism in Eukaryota, Metazoa, Arthropoda, Insecta, Coleoptera, Staphylinidae. The transcript has 3 exons.